Molecule: ribosomal RNA, 497 nt
Filed under: uncultured bacterium
Lineage: Bacteria
Description: partial 16S ribosomal RNA
Rfam family: Bacterial small subunit ribosomal RNA
Source: RNAcentral
GAUGAACGCUGGCGGCGUGCCUAAUACAUGCAAGUCGAGCGAACGGACGAGAAGCUUGCUUUUCUGAUGUUAGCGGCGGACGGGUGAGUAACACGUGGAUAACCUACCUAUAAGACUGGGAUAACUUCGGGAAACCGGAGCUAAUACCGGAUAAUAUUUUGAACCGCAUGGUUCAAAAGUGAAAGACGGUCUUGCUGUCACUUAUAGAUGGAUCCGCGCUGCAUUAGCUAGUUGGUAAGGUAACGGCUUACCAAGGCAACGAUGCAUAGCCGACCUGAGAGGGUGAUCGGCCACACUGGAACUGAGACACGGUCCAGACUCCUACGGGAGGCAGCAGUAGGGAAUCUUCCGCAAUGGGCGUAAGCCUGACGGAGCAACGCCGCGUGAGUGAUGAAGGUCUUCGGAUCGUAAAACUCUGUUAUUAGGGAAGAACAUAUGUGUAAGUAACUGUGCACAUCUUGACGGUACCUAAUCAGAAAGCCACGGCUAACUACGUG